UACGUAGGGUGCAAGCGUUGUCCGGAAUUAUUGGGCGUAAAGAGCUCGUAGGCGGUUCGUCGCGUCGGCUGUGAAAACCCGGAGCUCAACUCCGGGCCUGCAGUCGAUACGGGCGGACUCGAGUUCGGCAGGGGAGACUGGAAUUCCUGGUGUAGCGGUGAAAUGCGUAGAGAUCCGGAGGAACACCAGUGGCGAAGGCGGCCGCCUGGACCUGACCUGACGCUGAGGCGCGAAGGCGCGGGGAGCGAACGGG
This 253-nucleotide ribosomal RNA is filed under the name uncultured bacterium. Its description in RNAcentral is "partial 16S ribosomal RNA". It matches the Rfam family "Bacterial small subunit ribosomal RNA", at positions 524 to 776 of the family's 1533-position model. The record is from RNAcentral.